This 388-nucleotide ribosomal RNA is filed under the name uncultured bacterium. RNAcentral's name for it is "bacterial SSU rRNA". It matches the Rfam family "Bacterial small subunit ribosomal RNA", at positions 28 to 417 of the family's 1533-position model. The record is from RNAcentral.
GACGAACGCUGGCGGCGUGCUUAACACAUGCAAGUCGAGCGGUAAGGCCCUUUCGGGGGUACACGAGCGGCGAACGGGUGAGUAACACGUGGGUGACCUGCCCUUAGCUCUGGGAUAAGCCUGGGAAACUGGGUCUAAUACCGGAUAUGACUCCAUGACGCAUGUUGUGGGGUGGAAAGCCUUGUGCGGCUAGGGAUGGGCCCGCGGCCUAUCAGCUUGUUGGUGGGGUNAUGGCCUACCAAGGCGACGACGGGUAGCCGGCCUGAGAGGGCGACCGGCCACACUGGGACUGAGACACGGCCCAGACUCCUACGGGAGGCAGCAGUGGGGAAUCUUGCGCAAUGGGCGAAAGCCUGACGCAGCGACGCCGCGUGAGGGAUGACGGCCU